AGCUCCAAUAGCGUAUAUUAAAGUUGUUGCAGUUAAAAAGCUCGUAGUUGGAUUUCUGUCUUUAGUAAUCGGUCCGCUCAAUUUGAGUGCGUACUGUGGUUACUGAAUUCAUUUUUGUGAGGAGCCUUGGCUGGCAUUAAGUUGUCUGGCCUUGUGUACUUGCAUCGUUUACUGUGAAAAAAUUAGAGUGUUUAAAGCAGGCGUUCGCUUUAUUUGAAUACAUUAGCAUGGAAUAAUAAGAUACGACUUGUGUGGUAUUUUGUUGGUUUGCACGCGCAAGUAAUGAUUAAUAGGGACAGUUGGGGGUAUUCAUAUUUCAGCGUCAGAGGUGAAAUUCUUGGAUCGCUGAAAGAUGAGCUUAGGCGAAAGCAUUUACCAUGGAUGUUUUCAUUAAUCAAGA
This 400-nucleotide ribosomal RNA is filed under the name phytoplankton environmental sample. RNAcentral's name for it is "partial small subunit ribosomal RNA". It matches the Rfam family "Eukaryotic small subunit ribosomal RNA", at positions 587 to 982 of the family's 1831-position model. The record is from RNAcentral.